RNAcentral lists this small RNA (121 nucleotides) under Salmonella enterica. Its description in RNAcentral is "partial RtT sRNA". It matches the Rfam family "RtT RNA". From Rfam's summary of the family: This family represents a bacterial cis-regulatory element known as RtT RNA. The record is from RNAcentral. Lineage: Bacteria; Pseudomonadati; Pseudomonadota; Gammaproteobacteria; Enterobacterales; Enterobacteriaceae. RNAcentral also lists the same sequence under 2 other names.
UACGGGGAAGGAUGAGAAGCUUCGACCAAGGUUCGAUUCGAGCGCAGCGAGAAAGCGUUGCCGCAGGCAACGACCCGAAGGGCGAAGCGCGCAGCGCUGAGUCAUCCUUCCCCCACCACCA